Molecule: ribosomal RNA, 468 nt
Filed under: uncultured bacterium
Lineage: Bacteria
Description: partial 16S ribosomal RNA
Rfam family: Bacterial small subunit ribosomal RNA
Source: RNAcentral
GACGAACGCUGGCGGCGUGCUUAACACAUGCAAGUCGAACGGAAAGACCCUGCUUUUGUGGGGUGCUCGAGUGGCGAACGGGUGAGUAACACGUGAGUAACCUGCCCUUGAAUUUGGGAUAACUUCAGGAAACUGGGGCUAAUACCGGAGAGGAGCUCCUGCUGCAUGGUGGGGGUUGGAGAGUUUCGGCGGUAGGGGAUGGACUCGAGGCUUAUCAGCUUGUUGGUGGGGUAGUGGCUUACCAAGGCUUUGACGGGUAGCCGGCCUGAGAGGGUGACCGGCCACAUUGGGCCUGCGAUACGGCCCAGUCUCCUACCGGAGGCAGCAGGGGGGAAUAUUGCACAAUGGGCGGAAGCCUGAUGCAGCAACGCCGCGUUCGGGAUGCCGUCCUUCGGGUUGUAAACCGCUUUCGCCUGUGACGAAGCGUGAGUGACGGUAAUGGGUAAAGAAGCACCGGCUAACUACGUG